CAAUAGCGUAUAUUAAAGUUGUUGCAGUUAAAACGCUCGUAGUCGGAUUUCGGGGCGGUCUCGCCGGUCUGCCGAUGGGUAUGCACUGGCAGGGUCGUCCUUCCUUCCGGAGACUGCCCCUACUCUUAGCUGAGCGGGGGUGGGAGACGGAUCGUUUACUUUGAAAAAUCAGAGUGUUUCAAGCAGGCAGCUCGCUUUUGCAUGGAUUAGCAUGGGAUAAUGAAAUAGGACUUUGGUGCUAUUUUGUUGGUUUCGAACACCGAAGUAAUGAUUAACAGGGACAGUCAGGGGCACUCGUAUUCCGCCGAGAGAGGUGAAAUUCUCAGACCAGCGGAAGACGAACCACUGCGAAAGCAUUUGCCAGGGAUGUUUUCACUGAUCAAGAACGAAAGUUAGGGGAUCGAAGAUGAUCAGAUACCGU
RNAcentral lists this ribosomal RNA (421 nucleotides) under uncultured eukaryote. RNAcentral's name for it is "SSU rRNA". It matches the Rfam family "Eukaryotic small subunit ribosomal RNA", at positions 592 to 1018 of the family's 1831-position model. The record is from RNAcentral.